AGCUUCCGAUCAGGGGAGACGAGGGGAAGCGUCCAUCUCGGAUCUCCAGGACGUCGUAGUUCACCUCGGUCCGGAACCUGCGUCGAUCAACGGUUGUGUGUCAGAUGCCAUCGAAACAAUACAGGCCUUAGUCACUUCUGAGCGUUACCACGCUCACGCGCACAUUUACAUCAUUUUCGAUCCUUCGAGCACUCGCUAUCGUCCAGGACUUGUGGGAAAUCUGCGGCCCAGCUGAACGAAACGGGUUAAACGGAAAGGGGCGUGGUGCUUUUCUGAUGUUAUGUAAAAUCCAAGAGUCGCAAACAUGUUUUUUGCAUGUUUCUAAUCAUUUUUUAUUCAGCUUCAUGAAAGUGUGAACGAAAAGGACAGCUGAGCGUCAGAACACAGCGGAGAACUGAGCCUCGAUCCGGAUUACACUGUGCUGGCGGGAGCAGCUUCGUGGAGAGAGACACACACACACACACACACACACGUUUUUGCUUUUCACGUGCAUCUUCUGCGCUGCAUUUCCACGCAUCAUGUGUACAUACGUGUACACACUCACACACCUUUAUGAGGUUGUGUAAGAAGUGUGUGGGCGCAAAAGGCAGGUUGUGCCUGUCACAUUGUUUCAAUACGUGUGUGUACGUCCACAGAUUUGCUUCAUUGUCUGUGUCUGCGUGCGUCUGCGUGCGUCGGAAGGUCCACGCAGGGGAACCCACCCCCAGCGAGCGGAACAAACGCUGAGUUUGCCACUUCUUAAAACCCCCCAGAGAGGGAUGACCGGAGAUGUCCAGUGACAAGGUGUCCCACAUACAGCACUGCAAGGGGCAUGCCAAUCCAUCUACCAUUUAAUGUAAAGCACAUUUACAUUUAGCACACUUUUUUCAAACUAAACCUCUUAUAGCAACUUAGCAGACCAAGGUGCCUCCCAGCGCCCAUCCCAGUGCUCAUUACGGUCUUUUUUAGAUUUUACCAGAGGGGUGGGCAACUCCUGGUACUUGGACCCUGGCAGGUUAAUUAUUUCCCAGUUCUUUUGCUGGGAAGUUUUUUUUUGUUUGUUUUCCUCUCCUCAUUUACCAGAUGUACUCAUUCAUUAUAUUUCAUGAGCAUAGAGUAUUAUUUUUCUGUUUUGCCUUUACUUUCUUUUUUGUGACUUUAACAUGCUACCUGCAUCCAUCCGCAUGUGGCCUGAUACUUCAUGGACAAGAACACUAUAUACAAAUACACCGAAUUCCAAAAUGUUUCUUUUUCGAUGCAAGGUUGACUUUAGGGUAAAGCUGUAAGCUUUAAGCUUGUAAGUACUUUUUGUAUUGUAUGAACCUAUUACUCUAAGUGAUCUUGGACAAAGGCGUGAGCUAAACCAACAACAGCAUCAAUAACACUAACGCUUCUGAAAAUCCUACCCAGCUCCCGUAUGAAGUAUCUCAUGGAAGGGUCCAACAGAAGGCUGCUUUUGUUCACAAGUCCAGGUGAAAGACAUGGAGCUGCCCAGCUGCAGGCUGUCGCCGAAACGCUUGCCGUUGACAGGGACGCCGGGGUCGGGGCAUUCAUUGUGCCGAAAGGCUGUGGUGGCCAAGGAGUUUAAGGGGGUGAAGGGACGGAGGAAGAGAUCCCAGGUUUGAGGAGGUGCAGGCAACGUCGAUGGCAACCGAGGAGUCGAUGCAUCACCCGGGACAGCACCUCGAUUUUCCACAGAUGUCUCCACGCGCAAGAGAGGGGGCAUGUGCCAACCCGCAGGAUUAAUUCCCCUCGCGGAGGAGACACACCCAAGCCUGCUCCGAGCUUCAUCCAUCACCAUCCUCAUAUUUAUUAAAAACCCAGCAAUCUCCCCAAUGGAGUUUGUCAUCUUCUUAAUUAACACGGAUGACGGAACGUGGCCCACCCACGUGAGGGUGUCGGCCGAGUCACAUGACUGGAGAGCGCGACUGCCGUGAUGUCGGCUCCAAUUAGCCACGCUCCAUGUUAUCCAUUUGUUUAUUAACGUGCUAAUAAAUGUAUUAUUUGGGACAUCUUCCCUUGCUGUUGUGUGAAAUUGCCAACAUUAGGAAGAGGCUCGCUGGUGAAUGUGUUCUAGAGGAAUCCAACAAUAUGGUGAUAUUACAUGCUAUUCAAAGUUUAAAGGCCAUAUUAUUUGGACAAUAUGAUGGCCUGGAUUUAAAUAAUAUUAGAAAGUGUCAGAAAUUAUGAGUUACAGCGCUCCGAUCACCAGCUUGGCUGAGGUUUUUGCUGUGAAAGGAAGUUCCACGUCACUAAAUCGAAGGGGUCGCAUACUAUU
This is a long non-coding RNA of Scleropages formosus (Asian bonytongue), 2257 nucleotides long. RefSeq lists it as uncharacterized. The transcript is spliced from 4 exons. NCBI's taxonomy places the organism in Eukaryota, Metazoa, Chordata, Actinopteri, Osteoglossiformes, Osteoglossidae. The record is from RefSeq and is a predicted model, not a curated record.